Molecule: ribosomal RNA, 427 nt
Filed under: uncultured bacterium
Lineage: Bacteria
Description: bacterial SSU rRNA
Rfam family: Bacterial small subunit ribosomal RNA
Source: RNAcentral
AACGAACGCUGGCGGCAGGCCUAACACAUGCAAGUCGAGCGGGCGUAGCAAUACGUCAGCGGCGGACGGGUGAGUAACACGUGGGAAUAUGCCUUUCGGUUUGGUAACAACUCGGGGAAACCCGUCGCUAAUUCCGGAUACGCCCUUAGGGGAAAGGAUUAUCGCCGAAAGAUUAGCCCGCGUCCGACUUAGCUAGUUGGUGGAGGUAACGGCCCACCAACGGCGACGAUCGGUAGCUGGUUUGAGAGAACGACCAGCCACACUGGGACUGAGACACGGCCCAGACUCCUACGGGAGGCAGCAGUGGGGAAGUCUUGGACAAUGGAGGGAAACUCUGAUCCAGCCAUGCCGCGUGAGUGAUGAAGGCCUUCGGGUUGUAAACUACUUUCGUCGCGCGACGAUAAUGACGGUAGCGCGAGAAGAAGAC